Molecule: ribosomal RNA, 119 nt
Filed under: Pteropus alecto (black flying fox)
Lineage: Eukaryota; Metazoa; Chordata; Mammalia; Chiroptera; Pteropodidae
Source: RNAcentral
GUCUAUGGCCAAGCCACCCUGUACGUGCCCAAUCUCGUCUGAUCUCGGAAGCUAAGUAGGGUCGGGCCUGGUUAGUACUUGGAUGGGAGACCACCUAGGAAUACCGGGUGCUGUAGGCA